AGAUCUAUCUGGGACAAACCCUCAGAGCCCCAGGUCUCAUCCUUGGGCUAAACAGUAGCAUACCACAGAAGUAUGGGGUUUUCCUAGAUGCAUCUGAUCUACCUUCUGGCGCCAUGAACUGCCCUUCGACCUGAAAAAGGCCAUCCUAUUUGCUAGGAGCAGGAGGACCAUUAGGUUUUCAUUAGAAGUCUGGCUUUCUCUGUAUUCCACCCUAUCUUGGUUUUUCCUUCUUUGUAAAGCAAAGCGUUCACCCAGCUGAUCAUCCAAGACGUCUACACAAGCCAGAAUGUCAUCCUUCCUAAAAUAGCAGCUCCUCAAAGCAAGGCAAUGGCAAUCCAGUGGCAGGUGUGCAAGUCAUAACAUCCUACCUGAGGGGUGGGAACCAACGGUCUGUGUCCUAGUGCUGUGCUUUUUCGCGCUCAUCAUCCUAUUUUUCAGAUAGAGUGUGUGCCUCCACUUGGCUGUUCCCUUUCCAGACCAUGAUGGGGAAAAGCCGUCCUGAGAGAAAGGUGAGGGGCAGCCAGAUGCCUGCUGGCCGAUGAGCUGGAAAGCCUGGUGAUGUCAGCAGCAUGGUUUGGUUUAACCGUGUGUGGUUUAACACACCUCAUGGCAAAGGGGUUGUUCCCCGGACUCUCUGUAACAACAGCUUUCCCUUGAGUGAAAAAUCCCAAGCAUGGAUUCCAUCUCUUAAAGGGUCACGUAGACUGUUUUGCAAAGGGCGUGUGGAUGUCCAUGGCCCUGAGUGACCGAGGGCUGCACCAGGGACUGAGUUAGGGGUUCUGUAUAUGAGCCCGGAUCGCACCUUAGGUGAGAGCCACAGCCACCUGGGGCCUGUGUGUCCACCCACUGGGACAGAGUCCCAGCGGUCAGUUUGCUCCAUGUUUCAGCUUCCCUUCAAGUCCCUGUGUGCCUUUAGCCUCCUUUGGCCUCAGGCAAUCACUCGAGUAUCUCCUGAGGUUGUGUAGCUGUCACCUGUGACAGGCUAGUUUUUCUUGUAGUUGUGCUCUUCCAAACUGGUACCAGAAACCACAAACCUAAAUAGUGAAAAGAACAAACAAAUAACUGAAGUUAAUGCAACCCUUUCAAAAAUAAUUAAAGACGUAAAUGGCAUUCCCCAGAGCCAUUGUCCGUAGGUAUUUAUGUCUCUGAGUACAAACCUCUCCAUGUAGGAAAGCUUCCUCCCCAGUGAUUUCGGGUGUGGCGUGUCCUUCUCAGGGUUUAAACCUGUGGGCACCACGGGACCUGCGGCUCAGAACUUCCAGCAGGCAGCCGUUGUGAGCUUCCACAUCUAGGGUCACAAACAUCACACAGCAGAAAGCGGUCGCCCCACCAUGUGUGAGUCAAACCCAGGUCAGGGAAAGGGAGGAAAAACGAGGUUACAGAUGCUCUCACAUCAGUGGGGAAAAUAUUCUGCAUCACUGUAAAGAGGAGCAUCUGGCAGUGGUGCUAAGGUCCGGGCUCCAUUGUGGAGCUGUGCAUACACUGUCUACAGCACCUAACUCGGGCUUUCUCCCAUGUGAAACAAAGGAUGCUCUUGAACUUCCCAGAGGUAUUUUGAAAAGCGUUCAAAUUUACAAAAAUGUUGCAAGAAUAAAAACUAAGAGAGUAUGGAACUCUCUUGCAGUGCAGUGGGUUAAGGAUCCAGCAGUAUCACUGCAGUGGCUCAGGUUGCUGCUGUGGUGCAGGUUCGAUCCCUGGCCUGGGAACUUUCAUAUGCUGUGGCUGCAGCCAAUUUUCUUUUUCUUUCUUUUUAAUUAAGAGUAUAAAGAACACCUCUAUAUUACUUACCUAGAUUUAUUUUGAGUCUUUUCCACAUUUACAUGUUUCUCUCUUUCUUCACUCACUAUAUUUUAUAUACAUAUACAUAUAUAGAUACACAUAGCACAUGUAUGAUUGUUUUCUGAAUCAGCUGAGAAUGAGCUGUCUGCAUUGCAACACUUUACCCUGAAGUACUUUGGUUUACAUUUCAUACAUCUAUACAGUACAGUUAUAAGCUGCAGGAAAACUAAUACUGAUAUAACACUUGAUCUAAUCUUUCAUUUUAUUUCCGUUUUGGUCAACUGUCUCAAUAUUGUCUUUUUUUAUCAUUUUUUUUCUUGCCAGUAUGGCGUCUAGUCUAGAAUGUCAUCCAUUCACUUAUUUUGUCCCUUUUAUUUAUUUUAAUCUGGGUCAUUUCCACUGUCUUUUUUUGUCUUUUAUGACACUGACAUUUUGGGAGAACAGGGCGCCUUUCAUCUUACUACCGAGUUUCUCAGCUGGGGUUUGCAUGUUUCUCCAAGAUUAUGUGCAGCUUGUGUUCUGGCUGUGACACGGCAUAGGUGAUGCUGAGGUCACUCAGGGUCGUCAGUCUGGAAAUGCCACAUACUCACACCAGAGACCUCUGGGUCGAAGAACGUUCUGAUUUCUCCAGCAGCGUGGUUUACAAUGUUACUUUAUAGAUAUUAGACCACACAAACCAAUAUUCCAUUCUUCAUCAAAAUGCCCCCCUUGAUUGAGAAUCAGUUGAUGAUUUUUCUUUUUGAGGAGUCUGUAUUUACCAGAUGUUUGAGAAAUGAUGGAUUUUCCAAAUGCUGGGAGUUCCCGUUGUGGCUCAGUGGUUAACGAAUCCGACUAGGAACCAUGAGGUGGCGGGUUCAAACCUUGGCCUUGCUCAGCAGGUUAAGGAUCCGGCGUUGCCGUGAGCUGUGGUGUAGGUUGCAGAUGCAGCUCGGAUCCCGCGUUGCUGUGGCUCUGGCGUAGGCCGGUGGCUACAGCUCCAAUUAGACCCCUAGCCUGGGCACCUCCAUAUGCCG
RNAcentral lists this long non-coding RNA (2792 nucleotides) under Sus scrofa (pig). Its description in RNAcentral is "lncRNA (ENSSSCG00035005936.1)". The record is from RNAcentral. Lineage: Eukaryota; Metazoa; Chordata; Mammalia; Artiodactyla; Suidae.